GCAUCUAGCUCGGUUGGUUAGAGCACCGUGAUGAUAACGCCAAGGUUGCAGGUUCAAACCCUGCAUGGGGCAGCUGCA
Podarcis lilfordi (Lilford's wall lizard) is the source of this 78-nucleotide non-coding RNA. NCBI's taxonomy places the organism in Eukaryota, Metazoa, Chordata, Lepidosauria, Squamata, Lacertidae. The record is from the annotation of a GenBank genome assembly.